This 2108-nucleotide long non-coding RNA is filed under the name Macaca fascicularis (crab-eating macaque). RNAcentral describes it as "lncRNA (ENSMFAG00000052933.1)". The record is from RNAcentral. Lineage: Eukaryota; Metazoa; Chordata; Mammalia; Primates; Cercopithecidae.
UUUUUUUUUUUAAAUCCAGGACAUGUUCUCAUCUGGUCACUAUAACCACUUAAAUGGCUCUCUCAGUGGAGUUAAAUUUUGCUUUCACUUUGUUACAUGUAAAAAUGAGACUGUUAAGCCACUCUUAAUAAUAUACAUGUUUUGGGUUGUUUUUCUCGUAAUGAGGCGGGCUUUUACUGAGUCAUCUCUAUCUCUUUAGAAAAGUCUUCUUUGGGUCCAAGAUAUGUUUUCUCUUGCAAAGAAAACAACACAUCUCUUACAUAAAAUAAAAUCCACAAUCCUCAUUUUCUAGCACUAAAAUCUAAGCCACCCACCCUCAACUUCCACAUGCAUCUGCAGGGUAAUGCCAGACCAUCUGAGAGGGGUGUCUCGAGUCAUUUGCUAAGCUUGGUUGCAAUGAUAAAGUCUGAACCUGCAAAUGAUUUGUUUCAAAUAAUAAAUCAGAAGGGCUCAAGGUUAUUCCUGUAAUAGUCAUUCUUAUUUCUAUUUAAUGUUUUCUUGGGAGGGAGAAAAAGAGUUAGGGUUUAGGGGAGAGUUGUAUAUACAAAUGCAACUCUCCCCUAAAGAGUUCAUGAUAUGAAUUUCAUGAUAUAUAUUUCAGUCCAAAAAAAGUUCUGAAUGAACCUUGGCUCUAAUCAGCGGUACUGUAUUACCAGGGGCAAGGCUGACAUUAGAGCUCAGAUUUCUUUUAGGAAAACUGUAGAGAACGUUGAAAGGUCCUUGCAUAUGGCCAACGUAUACCAGGAAACUAGGGGGUACGGUUGCCAAAUGUAGCAAAUUAAAAAUAUGAGAAGUAAUUUUCAGCAUACAUGUAUUCCAAAUAUUGCAUGGGACAUACUUAUACUAAAAAUUGCCUGUUGCGUAUCUGCAAUUUAAACUUAACUGGGCAUCCUGCAUAUUAUCUAGCACCCUACUAGGGAGUCAAGGGGCCGGAUAGCUUAAGGACACCGAACUAGCAUAAUAUGUUGUGUUCAUUUCUACAGCAAGAUGGGGGCGCUCCAGAACUGAAGAUGGUUUUCAGAUGUUUAUCCUUUCCUAUUUACCCCUGACUGUAAAAAUACACCCUUUGCAUGUUCUCUCCUUUUUUCCAGCAGGCAAUAAUCGUGAGCUUACAAUACACUUGCCUGGGACUGUCCUAGAAGCUGGAAACAAAAGGUGAAUAAAGCCCCACCUCUGACCUCUGGAGUGGACACACGGGUGGACAGACAGAGGGACACCAAGUGAGCAGAACCACGCUGUAAGAAAAAACUGAUCAGGGGAAAAGAAGGGAUGGGGGCGUGGGAUGGGCCUGAUUUGAGACAGGAUGCUCUUUAGGGCUUUCUCUAAGACAGACAGAAAAUGUGCAAGCGCUUGAGGAAUGUGAAAAAGUGAGAGGAGAGGAGAGAGAAGGGAGGAGAAGAAGAGGAAGAAGGAGAAGCGGUGGCUGACCUGUGCAAAGUGAAACACUCUGGAGCCAUCUAGUAUCGAAAACCAAGGGCCUUCAGGCCAAUGCUGUAACACAUAAAAUGAGCAUCCUAAGCAAUGGAGAUGGGCGCCUCCAUUUAGGAAAGAGAGCCUGGCCUUCUAGAGUGUAGUUUUGGAAAGUCAGUAGUUAACAUUGCUUUCAAAUUGCGUUAAGAAGGUAAACCUGUGACCUGGAAAAAUAUUCCCUGAUUUCCUAUAAGCAUUCCCAUUUUGGGUGGGAAGGAAUGUGCGUACAAUGACUAGUCCAACAUGUCCCCACCAGAGUAAUCAGCGGAUCCCUGUCUAUUCCUGAGAAUAUGUCAGAAACAAAGUUCCCACGGCUCUUGAAUCCCUUCUCCUGUUCAAAAGGACACGGACAAAUACCUGACCUUAGGUUCUGGUCACAGCAGCACUGACCAGAACCAGCAAGGCUGCCAUCAUUUAUCAGUUACAGCUAAUGACACUGCACCUCUGGGUUGUACCAAAGUUCUAAGGGAGGACUUUGAUAUUUACAAUAAUUGGCUGGGCACAGCGGCUCAUGCCUGUAAUCCCAGCACUCUGGGAGGCUGAGGUGGGUGGAUCACUCGAGGCCAGGAGCUCCAGACCAGCCUGGCCAACAUGGUGAAACCCAGUCUCUACCAAAAAUAAAAAAAUAAAAAUAAAAA